UCAGGCGCGGCCUACACAUGCAAGUCGAGCGGUAGCACAGAGAGCUUGCUCUCGGGUGACGAGCGGCGGACGGGUGAGUAAUGUCUGGGAAACUGCCUGAUGGAGGGGGAUAACUACUGGAAACGGUAGCUAAUACCGCAUAAUGUCGCAAGACCAAAGAGGGGGACCUUCGGGCCUCUUGCCAUCAGAUGUGCCCAGAUGGGAUUAGCUAGUAGGUGGGGUAACGGCUCACCUAGGCGACGAUCCCUAGCUGGUCUGAGAGGAUGACCAGCCACACUGGAACUGAGACACGGUCCAGACUCCUACGGGAGGCAGCAGUGGGGAAUAUUGCACAAUGGGCGCAAGCCUGAUGCAGCCAUGCCGCGUGUAUGAAGAAGGCCUUCGGGUUGUAAAGUACUUUCAGCGGGGAGGAAGGUGUUGAGGUUAAUAACCUCAGCAAUUGACGUUACCCGCAGAAGAAGCACCGGCUAACUCCGUGCCAGCAGCCGCGGUAAUACGGAGGGUGCAAGCGUUAAUCGGAAUUACUGGGCGUAAAGCGCACGCAGGCGGUCUGUCAAGUCGGAUGUGAAAUCCCCGGGCUCAACCUGGGAACUGCAUUCGAAACUGGCAGGCUAGAGUCUUGUAGAGGGGGGUAGAAUUCCAGGUGUAGCGGUGAAAUGCGUAGAGAUCUGGAGGAAUACCGGUGGCGAAGGCGGCCCCCUGGACAAAGACUGACGCUCAGGUGCGAAAGCGUGGGGAGCAAACAGGAUUAGAUACCCUGGUAGUCCACGCCGUAAACGAUGUCGAUUUGGAGGUUGUGCCCUUGAGGCGUGGCUUCCGGAGCUAACGCGUUAAAUCGACCGCCUGGGGAGUACGGCCGCAAGGUUAAAACUCAAAUGAAUUGACGGGGGCCCGCACAAGCGGUGGAGCAUGUGGUUUAAUUCGAUGCAACGCGAAGAACCUUACCUGCUCUUGACAUCCACAGAACUUUCCAGAGAUGGAUUGGUGCCUUCGGGAACUGUGAGACAGGUGCUGCAUGGCUGUCGUCAGCUCGUGUUGUGAAAUGUUGGGUUAAGUCCCGCAACGAGCGCAACCCUUAUCCUUUGUUGCCAGCGGUCCGGCCGGGAACUCAAAGGAGACUGCCAGUGAUAAACUGGAGGAAGGUGGGGAUGACGUCAAGUCAUCAUGGCCCUUACGACUAGGGCUACCACGUGCUACAAG
This 1200-nucleotide ribosomal RNA is filed under the name Enterobacter cloacae. Its description in RNAcentral is "bacterial SSU rRNA". It matches the Rfam family "Bacterial small subunit ribosomal RNA", at positions 38 to 1231 of the family's 1533-position model. The record is from RNAcentral. Lineage: Bacteria; Pseudomonadati; Pseudomonadota; Gammaproteobacteria; Enterobacterales; Enterobacteriaceae.